RNAcentral lists this ribosomal RNA (274 nucleotides) under uncultured bacterium. RNAcentral's name for it is "partial 16S ribosomal RNA". It matches the Rfam family "Bacterial small subunit ribosomal RNA", at positions 523 to 796 of the family's 1533-position model. The record is from RNAcentral.
AUACGGAGGGUGCAAGCGUUAAUCGGAAUUACGGGGCGUAAAGCGCGCGUAGGCGGUCAGGUCAGUCGGAUGUGAAAGCCCCGGGCCCAACCUGGGAACUGCAUUCGAUACUGCCUGACUAGAGUAUGGUAGAGGGAAGUGGAAUUUCCGGUGUAGCGGUGAAAUGCGUAGAUAUCGGAAGGAACACCAGUGGCGAAGGCGGCUUCCUGGACCAAUACUGACGCUGAGGUGCGAAAGCGUGGGGAGCAAACAGGAUUAGAAACCCUAGUAGUCC